GCGCCCUUAGCUCAGCUGGAUAGAGCAACGGCCUUCUAAGCCGUAAGUCACAGGUUCAAGUCCUGUAGGGCGCG
This 74-nucleotide transfer RNA is filed under the name Candidatus Hoaglandella endobia. It matches the Rfam family "tRNA". From Rfam's summary of the family: Transfer RNA (tRNA) molecules are approximately 80 nucleotides in length. Their secondary structure includes four short double-helical elements and three loops (D, anti-codon, and T loops). Lineage: Bacteria; Pseudomonadati; Pseudomonadota; Gammaproteobacteria; Enterobacterales; Enterobacteriaceae. The record is from Rfam by way of RNAcentral.